ACGUAAACAAAUAAAUCAAAACCAUUAUUAAAACCAAAAACAAAACACCAUUUCUCUUGUAUCUACUUCUUGUUGUAUUUUUCGUUUUUUUUCAUUUGUUUCUUUAUUCACUAUUUUGUCAAACUCUUCAAUAAUUGUAGCACAAUCAUGUGAACGUGUCAUUCAUGGCACAGCGGCCAACACAGAGCGAGAGUUUUUGCUUCGCACAUCCCCAGCAUGCAAGCAAGCAAGCAAUGCUACAAUCAACAAACAAAGUCCCUGUCUACGAAGUCAACCCCACAAAAUGAAAAAUGCGACAAAAUAAGUCCACCAUUAAAGUGCAACGACAAAGAAAGGUCAGAGCACUGUGUAAAACUGUAAACUUCUCCGCCUCAACAAC
This 379-nucleotide long non-coding RNA is filed under the name Physcomitrium patens. Its description in RNAcentral is "long non-coding RNA (PPAT_LNC008634)". The record is from RNAcentral. Lineage: Eukaryota; Viridiplantae; Streptophyta; Bryopsida; Funariales; Funariaceae.